GAGGGUAGAGCUCAGUGGUAGAGCACAUGCUUAGCCUGAACGAGGUCCUGGGUUCAACCCCCAGUACCUCCA
This 72-nucleotide transfer RNA is filed under the name Camelus ferus (Wild Bactrian camel). It matches the Rfam family "tRNA". From Rfam's summary of the family: Transfer RNA (tRNA) molecules are approximately 80 nucleotides in length. The record is from Rfam by way of RNAcentral. Lineage: Eukaryota; Metazoa; Chordata; Mammalia; Artiodactyla; Camelidae.